CCGCGUCUGCGCCGCGCGGCUCACCUAUUGACCGAAUAUCAUCGUGAUAGCUAUAUAGCUACGAUAGUGCUGCACACAUCAGCAACGAGAACGGCGGCGGCAGCGGCGGCGGUGGCGGUGGCGAGCUGCCCGUGCUCGCGAGAGCGUUGCUUCGACGUGAAUCCUGAGGCUCGUUCUCGCUCUCCCGCCUCUUCAUCAUCGAGCGACAGCGCGGCGACGAUGACGGUCAGCUGAUCGUGCUCUCGCGCCGUGCUGUCAAUCGGCGAAUUUCUUUCUCUUUUUUCCCUCCCCUCGCCGUCCGCUAUCCCACGUGUGAAUCCUCCCUCUGCGCCAGAUCUUAUCGAAAGUGGAUGCGCGAUAUAUAUUUCGAGGAUUCCGUAAUACCUUCACCUUCCACCUUUUACUCCUACGGAAGAGUUGUACGAUCAAUCUUCCAGCAAGAGGCCGUCUCUACUUCGCUUUCUCUAUUUUCACGCUCUCUUGUCGAUCUUGUUAUCUUUUUGUCACGUUUUUCCUUUUCACGGGACACACUCAUCUGCCUGCUACGCCGCGCUGCUCUCUUCGUAAUGUCAAUAUUUUCUAUCGCCCGUCUGUUUUUCCUAUUAUGUACACAUCACAUGUACACAACAUACGUUUUUUUUUUCCUCUUGCUAUGGAUAAAUCCUAUUGUAUACGUACAGCAUGUUAAAAGACCAGUCUUUAUCUUAUAGCAUCCAGUUUCAAUAAAUAAAAUCAGAGAAUUGAAAUCGACGUAUCUUCGUGGAAUUUAAUUUUAUGAUACAAUAAAAUGGUAUAAAGAGUCGCUGUUAUAUCGCAUCAAUGUCUCUUAUCUCUCUCUCUCUCUCCCCUCUCCCCUUAUCGUCCCACUACCUCGCGAAGGGCGGGUGCGCCUCUCGACACGUACCGGUGUUACAGGGACAUUUAAUUGCCUCACGAGACUCUCGCGCGAAAAUCACUUCCUCGUUAAAGAAGGGGUCGUUCGCAGCCCGCUCGUCGUUAGUACAUUCCCAAACGCGAUCGCGGAAGUCCGCCGACAUCAUUCCGACCCGACAAAGGAGGGUCCAUCGAGGCAGGAAGACACGGGGCGUUCUCGUUGCGAGGGGUAGCUCGGAGAGUGCCGUUCACACAACAAUCAAGCGCCAUUAUAAUGCAUCGCUGCCGUACCGUUGGACAAUCGGAAAAGAGGUGAAGCGAUGGAAACGAAACGCACGUCAGCAACGUACUCGUCGUCCGAUCGAGCCUGUCCGUCCCCGUCGUCGACGGCUUUAAUUCGUUUAAAAACCUCCGAUCGCGCGUUACGUCAACCCGGUCAUAUUAACGGCGCGUCGCGUCUCCGAUAUACUACCUGCAUUACGUGAGCGCAUUACGAACGCAGGGUGCCUUUAGCUCAAGUGACUUGAACCUCGUGUCGAAGGCGCCGGCUUACCCUGGAUCUGGAACACCCGCAGAGCCAUGUUAGCGAAGAUCGACAGCCCGCUGCCAACUGACCAUCCCCCGGCGAGCGAGCUGCACCUUCUAAUUAUCACGAGUUGUUAAAAAAAAAAAAACGUGAUCGAUCGAUGUUUACGUAUUUAAGGUAUACGUGUGAAAGUCAUCUAGGGUAAGGAAUUUCAAAUUAGAAAAAACAGAAGUUAAAACGGUAGAUAUGACGAAUGAUCGAUCAUGGAUCACCGAAUAUUGACGUUUAAAUUCUCUAAGAACGAAAAUCGUAUCAUUUUAAUAAAACUACAAUGAGAAGUUGAUUCAACAGCAUUUUUUCCUCGGCGUAAUUCAUUACUUAUUUAAUAAAAGAGAGAAAAUAUUUUAUUUUUAUUAUUUCAUAUUGCCAUUUAUUAUUUUAAUUAAUUCUUAAAUUUUGGCAAUAGAAUUAGAAUGUUGGAACAAUUGUGCGCUAUGCAAGAGAAGUUGAUAAAAUUAAUUGAGAUGCGAAAGAAAUAAUUUAUGAAUCACAAUUUAAUGUGGACAUACAAGAAUUGCGUUAUUUAUUAAUUAUUAUUGCAGACUACUAAACAGGUCUAAAAUUAUUUUUCCUUUAACUUAAAAUAAGUUUGCUUUCUUGCUAACAAAGUAGUCUUUCGUUAUGAAAUAAAAUUACGUUUAAAAUAUGUAAAAUUGAGGUCACGAAAAUUAUACCAAUUUCAAUCUUUAAUUCCUUAUCGAUGCCAAUUGAAGUUGACGCGAAUCACAGGUCGAAAUAAAACUGGAACGGACACAUUUGUUCUUUUCCCGUGUGAGAAGAACUUAUUUCACGAAUUCGGUUAACGAACGUUACACGACCUCGCAGCCUUCCGUCCAACAACUAAAAAUUUGGGAAUAAACGAACUCCUGUCACACCGGAAUCGCCACGUUUCUGGCAAAAUGCCGCGCAUCGUUCCGUGUGUGUGUGUGUGUGUGUGUGUAUGUGUCAGACGGGAAAACGCCGCACUCUCGGAAGAUUCGACAACGCGUCGCGCGGAUCGAACGCGAUUCGCGAAUUAUUUGCGGCACGAUAUGGCAUGACAGCGAAGCAGUAGGCGGUUCCCUGGAAACCGCAACGCGUCUCCGGAAUUCCCUUCCCUUCCCAAAUUCUGGAAAUCGUAGGUUGAAAAACGACGUGUUUCACGGAACUUAGCUUUGCGACACUAACGACCGGAAAAAGCAAAAUGCGAAGAGAUGAACGAUGAUUCACACUGAUAAAAAUUAAACACAAAAAUUCUUUUAGAAUUUAUCCUCAAAGUCAUGGUUAUUGUAAAAUAAUGCCUUCAAAAAAUUUUACUAUAACUUGAGUACUUGAGCCGAAUAAGAUCUAGUAUUAAAAUAAUACCACUUCUAAAUUUAUCGUUUAAAAACGCGCUUUGUGACCAGAAUAUAUUGUAAAAGAUGUGUCAUUUGCUUUGUUACAAUCAAAACGUAUCUUGUACCCAACGCUCUUAUCGAGCUAUUUUCCCUUUUGUAUCCAGAAUUGUUGCUGACAUAAAUUCCCUGCCGUUAUCUUACUAUUCAUUUAUUACAAUUAAUUUAUCCGGUAAACAUCGAUCGUGCUCUAGACAAAAAUGGUUACAACAACCAAAUGAUUUAUCCUCGAUAUUAGGACGAAAGUGGCUCGCUUGCGUAAUUAUGUUUAAUUGCUGCCGUUAGGUGCAGCUGCUGCUUUGAGAGGAGCGUUAAGUGUCCGCGUAUUCGUUAUAGAUAUGUUGAAAUAAUUCCACUCAAUACGUUGCAAUAAAAUGUAGCGAAAAUAUUUCUGCGUAAUCUUUCCACGUAUAAAUUCAAUAAUACGCAUAUUAAAUUCAAAAAUUAUUAAUCGGAAUAUUAAAGUGGCUUCGCGGGAAAGUAGUAAAAAAACGCGUAUUUAAUUGGAUCGAAUCUGGCUUAAAGUCUCAGUAGGCCUAUUUUGUAACUCUUAACGACAGUUUCGUUACCGUUAUAACGUCGUUGUGUAGCUUUUUUGCCAUAAAUCCGCGCAACGACAUUAUAACGGCAACGAAACUGUCGUUAAGAGUUGCAGAAUAGAUUUGCCGGUUCAAUCCCUCGAGGAUUUUUCUCAUCCCACAUUUUCUUUGUAUUUGAAAUUUCCACGUAAAGCAGAAUCUCUGUAUAAAAUAGAGUUUUUCGACGUUAAAUUGCGAUUAAAUAUAUUUUAUUCUUUAAACUACUUUUAUAUGUAAUUAUUUUUAAUAUAAAACGCUGAAUUUUUUCAAAAAGUAGUUUUAGCAGUGUACAAUUGCAAUGACUUGCAUUAUAGUUGAAAAGCAUUGAAUUGUAAACUGUGUUACACAGUGUUGCAUAUGUAUGUUGCUGGAAAACACUUAUAAUUGUAAAAUAGUAUUCAUAAACAUAUUAAAAAAAUAAAUCAGAAUUUUUUAAGGAAUUUUUAAAAUUUUCCCUUAAAAGUCCCUUUAAAAUCUUUUUAAAAAAAUACGUUUAAUAACCAAAGUAGUCUGACUAAACAGUAAAAAAUAUGGUAGGAUUAAGAUACAACGUCCAUUCACUCCACGAUACCUGUCAAUUUUCAACAAAUUGUGUGAAAUAUAAUCUAAUCCCCUUACAUAAAGUAAUUAUUUACCAAUUUUUUAAUAAAAAUAUUUUACGUUAUUUCAUAGAAAAAUAACACUAAGUAUUUGGCGGACGGUUUUGAUGUUGUUUUAUAAUAGCGCGCGCCCCUUACACGAAGACUCCGUAUACAUUGAGUUUUCUGUAGCUGAACUGUUCGAACCAUUCGACGUCUCUCUUUUUCUAUCCACCUUUUAAUUAUACACUUAUUUUAUUUAUAAAAAACGUAGAAAAAAUAAUGGUGCAAUAAAGAGCUAUUAUUCGUGCGGCGAGAAUCAAGCUAGCAGAUAGCGAUAUGAGUCAUUUCCUAUUUCACCUUCAAAACGCAAUAAUUCGUAACGAAAAAUCACGAUCAAGUAUUUGAUUUCGCGAUUAACGAUUCGCAUGCAUGUUAAGACGGCUGUUUAUUACUGAAACGGAUAUCUCGCGUGAUUUUUUUUUUUUUAUUUGAAUCGCAACAAUAGGAAAACGGAAUUAUAAAUUCUAAUUCGUCGGGGAACAACACUCACGGAAAUUUAUUAUUUCGAAUAAUAUAUCCUACAACGCGUCAUCAAUAUUUCGACAAAUUAAAUAUGAUUUACUUAUCACUUUUUAUCGAAUGCGCGGAAUAACGCGCGACUCGCUGGAUCAAGUAUUACGAAAGACUAUCAAACGUUUGAAGUGCAAUUAAUAAUUUGAAGUGCAAUAAUUUUCGGUGUAUAAUUUUUCCGUAAGACUAAUAUUUUACAUAUAUUUUGACGACUGUUCGUGACUUCGGACGUGAGCAAGGACGCCCACGCCGCGUAUUGUAAUUGUCGGCAGGUAACGGCGCGAGUCAGUCGCUUCGUGUGUCAUUAACCGUCGAUACGUGAUCGCAUCACGUUUCAGAUACGGAGAGAAACCGUAGGCGAUUAUUUCCAACAAACAAUCUCAAUUAGCUCAUCUAUCAAUCAAUGCAAUUAAUUAACUCUCGCGAGUGAUAGGUGUAAAUUUCGUGACUAAUUUCAUCGCAUAUUUACUCGGUUUUUCAUUUAAAAACUGAAGGAGUUAGAAAAUGCAUAUUUAUCAAGUAUUAUUUUAUUGUAAAAUUUAUAAACGCAUAAGCAAUAAUGAUUUCUAUUUAUGCUGAAAUGUGUUGUGUCGAGUCUUGAAUUCUAUUUCAACGUAAUUUGUUCGUUACCUUUGAAUUGCGAGCACGGAAUAAUGCACGAAUCGCCGGAUAUAAUGGAAAAGGGUAGUAAUAUGGUCGCCAUUAUUUUAAAUUGAAAAUUUAACGAUUACAUUCGUCAAUGUGUUGUUUAAUGGAUUCUACACUCAAAGUUAUGAAAUAUUUAUUACUUGGGAUAUGAUUUAUAAAAAUAUGAUUGAAUAAUGGGUCGAAGAGAAACCGAGGCAUAUGUCCUUUUUUCCUGUCCGCAAAAACAGAUUUAAAACAAUCAAUAAAAGGCUCACAAAUGUAAUAUUUUUUAAAUAUAAAAAAACGCAGAUUUAAAAAAUUGGUAUUUUCUUUAAAAAAAUACGUUUUAUUAUAAAAUUAUAUAUUUAUUUAAAGCAAAAAGAAAAUAUUGCACAAUGCAAACUGUAUGCCACAUAUCUGUACAUGCGAAUAACAAAAAAAUAAAAUAAAAUAAAAUAAAAAUAGUAAAUGUAGAUGUAUUCGUGUGACAAUAUGUCCAGAUUUAAAAAGGGCGUAUGUAUAAUCGAAAACUAAAAUGCAUCUUGAAAAAAUUUCGAAAUGCUUAAAAGUAAAAAUGUCUUGAAACAAAUGUUGGGUAUUGUGCAUUGGCAUAUUAGCGCCACUGCAGUGGGCUAAACGCUAAAUAAAUGACUCCUUAAAUAGAAUUUAUCUUCUAAUA
Molecule: long non-coding RNA, 5867 nt
Organism: Solenopsis invicta (red fire ant)
Lineage: Eukaryota; Metazoa; Arthropoda; Insecta; Hymenoptera; Formicidae
Exons: 2
Source: RefSeq, a predicted model, not a curated record